UUGAGGUUAAUUGAAUUUUAAUAUUUCAAUUAGGACUUGGAUUCAAAGUCUAAUUGAAUUAGGUUUGACAGAAUUUCUAAUUGGAUUCAAAUCAGAUUCGAAUUGGAUUCGAAUUGAAUCAUGGAUCAAGUCCUACUUGAUUUAAAUCAAAUUUAACUUAAUUAAGCUUGACUUAAUUUGAGAUAAAUUAAAUUUUAUAAUCCAAGUAGGA
RNAcentral lists this long non-coding RNA (211 nucleotides) under Elaeis guineensis (African oil palm). RNAcentral's name for it is "long non-coding RNA (EGUI_LNC027274)". Lineage: Eukaryota; Viridiplantae; Streptophyta; Magnoliopsida; Arecales; Arecaceae. The record is from RNAcentral.